Haliotis rubra (blacklip abalone) is the source of this 237-nucleotide long non-coding RNA. RefSeq lists it as uncharacterized. Lineage: Eukaryota; Metazoa; Mollusca; Gastropoda; Lepetellida; Haliotidae. The record is from RefSeq and is a predicted model, not a curated record. The transcript has 3 exons.
UCUGCAAAAGUGUUUGAUGUUCGCGCACCCUUCCAAGGAAAUAACAUAAAUGCUGACUUCUACUACGACUGGAACAACGGAGCUACUGCCAUUCAGUACACUGUGUAUGGAUUAAUUGCGAAGUCAACCAGAAUUGUCACGUCGUAUCAAAAGAAUGAACGCUACACCAUCUUGGCCGAUGGAACAUGUACCAAGGACGCCCCAACUGGCGUGCUUCUGCCAAACUGCAUCAGUAAC